UGGUGAAGUGAUUUGUCUGGUUAAUUCCGAUAACGAGCGAGACCUCAGCUUGCUAAUUAGUAAGGGGAAUCUUUUGAUUCUUACUGUUCCUAACUUCUUAGAGGGACUAUCGGUGACUAGCCGAUGGAAGUUUGAGGCAAUAACA
This 145-nucleotide ribosomal RNA is filed under the name uncultured eukaryote. RNAcentral describes it as "partial 18S ribosomal RNA". It matches the Rfam family "Eukaryotic small subunit ribosomal RNA", at positions 1299 to 1458 of the family's 1831-position model. The record is from RNAcentral.